RNAcentral lists this ribosomal RNA (253 nucleotides) under uncultured bacterium. Its description in RNAcentral is "partial 16S ribosomal RNA". It matches the Rfam family "Bacterial small subunit ribosomal RNA", at positions 524 to 776 of the family's 1533-position model. The record is from RNAcentral.
UACAGAGGUCUCAAGCGUUGUUCGGAUUCAUUGGGCGUAAAGGGUGUGUAGGUGGCGCUGUAAGUCGGGUGUGAAAUUUCGGAGCUUAACUCCGAAACUGCAUUCGAUACUGCCGUGCUUGAGGACUGGAGAGGAGACUGGAAUUUACGGUGUAGCGGUGAAAUGCGUAGAUAUCGUAAGGAAGACCAGUGGCGAAGGCGGGUCUCUGGACAGUUCCUGACGCUGAGGCACGAAGGUCAGGGGAGCAAACGGG